AAAGAGACUGUCAUUUCUCCACUGUAUAUUCUUGCCUCCCUUGUCAUAGAUUAAUUGACCAUAGGUGCGUGUGUUUACUUCUGGGCUUUCUAUACUGCUCUAUUGAUCUAUAGGUCUGUUGUAGUGCCAGUAACAUACUGUAUUCAUUACUGUAUGUUUGUAAUAUAGUCUGAAUUCAGGGAAUGUGAUUAUAAUUUUUGGAUUUGGACUUAUUUUCAAAGUCUGUCUCCAUGUAGAGAAUUGAGAGGUAAACUGACAGAUUUUUCUUCUACUUUUUAUUUUAUCAUCUAACACCUUAAUCCUUAUAGAAUAAUUUUGGAUUGUGAUAUGAAGCAUGAGUACUGACUAAUACAUAUGCCCUUACUAGUGACUUCUGCAGGUAAUCCUCAGGAUCAUUUUGACUUCAAAAGUAGGCAAAUCAACCUAUUAAAAUAAAUAGGAUGUCAAGUUCAGGAAAUAUCUCUUUCAGAUUUUGAUUAGAAUUGCAUUGACUAUCUAAAUUAACUUUAAGAAAAAAUUGAUAGCUUUUAAAAUUUUACUAAUACAUCUAAGAACAAUUUAUGUCUCUAUUCAAAUAAUAAUGUUAAGAUUAUGGUGAUUUACAAUUUUAAACAAUUUUAAGCAAUUUUACAAAAUUUAUAUUUUUAUGUGAUAUAUUUACUAUAUAUACUAUACUAUAAUAUAAAUACUAUAGUAUAAAGUAUACUUUAUUGAAGUUCCCAUCAUGGCGUAGUGGAAACAAAUCCAACUAGGAACCAUGAGAUUGCGGGUUCUAUCCCUGGCCUCAGUCAGUGGGUUAAGGAUCUGGUGUUGCUGUGAGCUAAGGCAUAGGUCACAGAUGUGGCUCAGAUCUGGCUUUGCUCUGGCUGUAGCAUAGGGUGGCAGCUGCAGCUCUGAUUAGACCCCUAGCCUGAGAACUUCUAUAAGCCUUGGUUGCAUCCCUAAAAAGCAAAAAACAAAUAAAUAAAUGAAGUGUACUUUAUCAUAUAUUACAUAUUAAUGUAAAAUUUAAUAGUAAAACUUUAUAGUUAAUAACACUAAAUUAUUAGAUAACCUCAUAUUUUCUUUAAAAUAUUUUAGUGUUUUCUUUUUUUUUGCCAUUUCAUAUUAACUUUAUUUUUUUGUGAGCUUAGAGAUUUAUUUCUGCUCAUUGAGAUCUUUUAUUUUUUCUAUUUUUUUAUUUUAUUAUUAUUAUUUUUAAUAGUUAUUUCCCCAAUACAAUUUUUUUUUAUACCGUACGGCAUGGUGAUCCAGUUACACAUAAUGUACACAUUCUAUUUUCACACAUUAUAAUGCUCCAUCAUAAGUGUCUAGACAUAGUUCCCAGUGCUACACAGUGGUGUUUUAUUUUCUUGAUAUUGAAAUUCAUUUUACAUAAAUUUUAUAACUGAUUAUUAAACAUAUUAGGAGAGAGAUUAAAAGGGGAAAAUAGCACCACAUUUAAAACUUAGACUUUUUUUAAAACUACUUAAUGAAUUUUAUUACAUUUAGAGGUGUACAACAAUCAUCACAACCAAAUUUUAUGGCAUUUCCAUCCCAAACCCUCUGUGUAUCCGCCUACCCCACAAUCUGUCUCAACUGGAAACCAUAAGGUUUUCAGUCUGUGAGGCAGUAUCUGUUCUGCAAAGAAGUUCAGUCUGUCCUUUUUUCAGAUUCCACAUGUCAGUGAAAGCAUUUGAUGUUGGUGUCUCAUUGUCUGAUUGACUUCACUUAGCAUGAAAAUUUCUAGGUCCAUCCAUGUUGCUAAAAAUGCUGGUAUUUUGUUCCUUUUAAUGGCUGAGUAAUAUUCCACUGUGUAUAUGUACCACUUCUCUUGUAUCCACUCCUCUGUCAAUGGACAUUUAGGUUGUUUCCAUGUCUUGGCUAUUGCAAAUAGUGCUGAAAAUGAACUGUAGGUACAUGUGUCUUUGCANUUUAGUUUUCUAGGAAUCUCCAUAUUGUUUUCCACAGUGGUUGCACCAAUUUACAAUCCCACCAACAGUGUAAUAGGAUUCUUUUUUCUACACACCCUCUCCAGCACUUAUUGUUUGUAGACUUUUUGAUGAUGGCCAUUCUGGCCAAUGUGAGGUGGUAUCUCAUAGUGGUUUUGAUUUGCAUUUCUCUAAUAAUGAGUGAUGUUGACUAUCUCCUCAUGUGUUUUUGGGCCAUCCGUUAUGUCUUUUUUGGAGAAUUGUCUAUUUGGAUCGUCUGCCCAUUUUUUGAUGGGGUUUGUUUUUUUGGUAUUGAGUGGUAGGAGGCGUUUAUAAAUUUUGGAGAUUAGUCCCUUGUCAGUCGAUUCAUUUGCGAAGAUUUUCUGCCGUUCUGUGGGCUGUCUUUUCAAUUUGUUUAGGGUUUCCUUUGCUGUGCAGAAACAUUUAAGUUUGAUUAGGUCCCAUUUGUUUAUUUUUGUUUUUACUGUCAUUACUCUCAGAGGUGGAUCUGAGAAGAUGUUGCUGUGGUUUAUGUUGGAGAACAUUUGGCCUAUGUUUUCCUUUAAGAGUUUUGUAAUAUCUGGUCUUAUAUCUAGGUCUUUAAUCCAUGUUGAGUUUAUGUAUGUGUAUGGUGUUAGGAAGUUUUCUAGUUUCAUUCUUUUACAUGUGGCUGUCCAGUUUUCCCAGCACCACUUAUUGAAGGGGCUAUCAUUUCUCCAUUGUGUAUUCUUGCCUCCUUUGUCAUAGAUUAGUUGGCUGUAGGUGCAUGGGUUUAAUUCUGGGCUUUCUAUCCUAUUCCACUAAUCUAUAUUUCUUUGUGCCAGUACCAUACAGUUUUGAUGACUGUUGCUUUGUAGUGUAGUCUGAAGACAGGGAGCCUGAUUCCUCCAGCUCCAUUUUUCUUUCUCAAGAUGGCUUUGGUUAUCCUGGGUCUUUUGUGCUUCCAAACAAACUUUAAAAUAUUUUGUUUGAGUUCUGUGAAAAAUGUCCUGGGUAAUUUGAUAGGGAUUGCAUAGAUUGCCUUGGGUAGUAUAGUCAUUUUCAUAAUAUUGACUCUUCCAAUCCAAGAGCAUGGAAUGUCUUUCCAUCUAUUUGUGUCAUUUUUGAUUUCUUUCAUCAGUAUCUUGUAGUUUUCAGAAUACAGGUCUUUUGUCUCUUUAGGUAGAUUUAUUCCUACGUAUUUUAUUCUUUUUGAUGUGAUGGUAAAUGGGAUCAUUCUCCUAAUUUCUCUUUCUGAUCUUUCAUUGUUAGUGCAUAGAAAUGCCAUCAAUUUCUGUGUAUUAAUUUUGUAUCCUGCAACUUUGCCAAAUUCAUGGAUGAGCUCUAACAGUUUUUUCUGGUAGUGUCUUAAUAUUCUCUAGGUAUAGUAUCAUGUCGUGCAAAUAGUGAUAGUUUUACUUCUUCCUUUCCAAUUUGGAUUCCUUUGAUUUCUUUUACUUCUCUGAUUGCUGUGGCUAGGACUUCCAAAACUAUGUUGAAAAGCAGUGGCAAGAGUGGAUGUCUUUGUCUUGUUUCUGAUCUCAGUGGGAAUUCCUUCAGCUUUUCACCAUUGAGAAUGAUGUUAGCUCUGGGUUUACCAUAUAUGGGUUUUAUUAUGUUGAGGUAUGUUCCCUCUGUGCUCACUUUCUGAAGGGUUUUUAAUCAUAAAUGGGUGUUGGAUUUUGCCAAAGGCUUUUUCUGCAAAAAAACUUAAGACUUUUGAUUCAAAUGUAACUGGCUGAGUCCUGACAUUGGAAAAAUGCAUAUUUCUGGCAAGAUUAUAUACCAUACCAAUAGUUCUAUUUCCCAUAUAUGAGGUUGGGAGAAAGAUGAAUAUAUGCAAGAUAUCUAAGAAUAUUACUAAAGUAUGAAUACAUUGUUUCUGUAGGAAUUACUAGCUCUAAAUAAAAUGAACAGAAAGCAAAUAUUAAGACAGGUGACAAAGGAGGGCAGGAACUCUGGGAUCAAUACUAUUUUACUAUACUAUUAAAUCCAAAUGGGUAAGUUAACUGUCUGAGAAUGUGAAUUUUAAAUGCUAAAUUAAGGCCUGAAAAAGAACAAAUACUCUGCAAAGGAAAUGUUAAUAACAAUAUUAUAUAUUAUAAAUAUGUAGCUAUCUCAACAAAAUAUAGAGGUUAAGCAUGAAGGUGAGCAUGAGCACGUGAAGAAAGUAAGAAAGUAACAUUUUCUAAACAUCUCCUAUUCAUGUGGAAGGGAAAAGAAGAGAAGAACAGGAAGAAAUAAAUUUAUUUCUCAGAACCUAUUUUACUGCAGAUGAGAACAGGUCUUGGGGAAAAGAAAGUAAAACGUUUUGAGGUAUAUAAGAGUGAGGAAAUACCUAGCAUUUUCUUUUCUAAUCUUUGCAGAGGAAUAUGUGCCUGAUUAUGCUAAUAGGAUAAGGGGGACCAUGUCAAUAAAAUGGUAAAUAAUAGUAUUACUUUCAAAUUUACAAGGACAAAGUUGAAUGAAAACAAUAUGUAUUAAAGAUAUUUAUUCCUAAUAUGUAGAAUAUACUUAAAAUCAAUAAUAAAAGAAUAAUUAUUUAAAAUGAAAGGAUUUGACCCUUUAAAAAAGCUGAACAAAACAUUCACAAAAUAGCAUAUACAAGUUAAUAAAACUUGGAAAUUUGAUCGACAUUUUUUCCAUCACAGAAAUGAAAAUUGAAACUCAAUGGACCAUUCCAUCCUAUUAAAAGAAC
RNAcentral lists this long non-coding RNA (4587 nucleotides) under Sus scrofa (pig). RNAcentral describes it as "lncRNA (ENSSSCG00030057589.1)". Lineage: Eukaryota; Metazoa; Chordata; Mammalia; Artiodactyla; Suidae. The record is from RNAcentral.